This is a long non-coding RNA of Syzygium oleosum, 717 nucleotides long. RefSeq lists it as uncharacterized. The record is from RefSeq and is a predicted model, not a curated record. The transcript is spliced from 4 exons. Lineage: Eukaryota; Viridiplantae; Streptophyta; Magnoliopsida; Myrtales; Myrtaceae.
UGUGCAAAUGAGCCCAUGGACUGUCGGGCCUCAGAUACUAGAGAUUGUACUUCCCAUGGAGCUUCGGGAGAGUUGGAAACUGCUUCUACCAACUCUGAACAGUCUGACACCACGUCAAGUACUUCGCUUCUUCUGGUCGUGAGGAAAGAGAGAGCUUCAAUGAGAGCUGGGGUUUCUACAUGGAAGGCAGAGGCUGCUGUUACAGAUUUGGCAAAACCAUCAAGGAUCGUCCUCGACGAGUCGCGAAUCAUGCCGGCUAUAGCUUCGGUGUUUGCUCCGCCCACGAACGACCCAUCAAUAUUCACUUUUAAGGUUUGGCCUCUCGAGGGAACCCAAUGUCGAGGUCGUUGGAUUUAGGAUCUGUUGCCGAAAUACAAAAUUGUUCCUCGCCUUCCAAAUUGACCAGAGAGCGCAAGCCACCGUGUCGUGGGAAGGUGGAUCUACCGAGUGGCGUAGGAGCAGUCCAAAUAGAAGCGGUCCAAGAACAGAGCAAGAACAGGUGCUCCACUGUUUCGGCAUCCUGAUUACAAAAAGGGCAAGUGGGUGCAAGUAAACCAUGGAUUUGCAUCUAGAAGGCACACAAAUCAAAGGUAAUACUAUGGGGAGGAGUACUCAGCUCCCAUGGCUUAAGCACUAAUAGGUGGCUGGAGAAAGACCAUGGACGAGAAUUAAGAAUUAUGUCCUUCUCUUGAGCAGAGGGGAAUUCAAGGGAGAAAA